RNAcentral lists this ribosomal RNA (338 nucleotides) under uncultured bacterium. Its description in RNAcentral is "bacterial SSU rRNA". It matches the Rfam family "Bacterial small subunit ribosomal RNA", at positions 1 to 334 of the family's 1533-position model. The record is from RNAcentral.
CGACUACAGUCAGAGUUUGAUCCUGGCUCAGGACGAACGCUGGCGGCGUGCCUAACACAUGGCAAGUCGAACGGGGUAAAGACUUCGGUUUUUACUUAGUGGCGAACGGGUGAGUAACGCGUGAGAAACCUGCCUUUCAGUGGGGGACAACAGUUGGAAACGACUGCUAAUACCGCAUAAUGUUAUUUGGGGGCAUCCCUGAAUAACCAAAGCUUUAUGUGCUGAAAGAUGGUCUCGCGUCUGAUUAGCUAGAUGGCGGGGUAACGGCCCACCAUGGCGACGAUCAGUAGCCGGUCUGAGAGGAUGAACGGCCACAUUGGGACUGGGAUACGGCCCAG